AGGACUCUCCCUUAAGUUGUUCUACUUUUCCUUUUUCUCUUUAUAUUUUUCUUUUUCAUUUUUCUCAAACAAAGGCAGCCGAUCUAGGUGUUUUGCUCUUUGAAUCUCCAACAAUCCAUCAUCACUUUAGGUAUUGUACUCUUUGGAUCUCUCCUUUUAGGGAUUUUACUCAAAAAUUACUAUUUGUGUUUAUCGGUCAUUGUGCUUUAGAGAUCAAGAAUUUUUUUCACAGUGGGCAACGACAAAGAAUAGAUGUUUAAAGCUUGGUUUUAAAUUUAAUCCUGUUGCUGUGUUGUUCUCGCUGGUGGUGUUGCCUGACUGAUGCUUUGAUAUACAGCAACUGUGUUGUAGUUCCUUGUUUGCUGGUUUGGUCAUCGUUAUAUUUACACGACCAAAACACACCAUACACUUACAAAUUUUGUUAAAUGCAUUUCCUUGUAUGCUGACAAAGAAUUUUUGUUUUGUUUGUGUGUGGAUCUUGGGGAUGUGAAUGAGCUGGCCAAGAGAAACAAUUAAACGAAGGGAGUGUGUGUGAGAGAGAAAGAGAGAGAGGCUUUGGCUUUGGAUUUCGGGGUCGGGGUCGGGGUAGGGGUAGGGGCGUUCUGGUUCAUGGGAAAAUCCCUCUCGUGGCUUUGGAUGAAGGCAUCUCAUAGUACAGUUAACAUAGCAGGGUUCAUGAAUCAUGCGUCAAACAGUAAUGAUGGCAGAGACACAUGCAUAUUAAGUUUUUUUUUUUUAUUUCGGAUGGGAUGGUAAUAAGAUAAUAACUGAGGUGAUGAUGGCCCACCUUACUUUAAUUUCUUUUUCGUGUCGGGAUUCAUUUCAUCAGAUUUGACGCUUUGUUUUUAUUGUUUGUUUGUAUGAUAUACACUAUAUAAAAUUUAUUUUUUAUAUGAAAAUUUUUGAAUUAUCUCUAGGCUACUCCAAAUAAAAUUUUCUGUCCAAGGUCUUAUAAGGGUGAAAGUGAAACCUCAUUUGGACACAAAGGGACCUAGUCCUCAUAAUUUUGGAGUAUUUUAUCAUGGUUUUAAAAUUUUUAAUUUACAUCUCCUCAAAAUUUUUAUAAAUUCUAACCAUAGUUUUUUAAAAAAUUAUUUGAACACUCUCAUUUAGAUCUAGUCAUGGUCAGGCCAUCACUUGCACAGGUAUGAAGGUCUGUCUGAAAAGUAGGAAGGUUUAAAACAAAUAUAUGCUUAAAAAAUGAGAUUAGAAAAAAAAGUUUGUUUUCUAAACAGACUGAGCCUCGGGUAAGAUUUUUGCCUAGAGCUGGCUCGAAUUUGUUUAAAAAAAUUUUCAAUGUUAUUUUGCUACUAUUGCUACCACUUUUGUGUUGUUUUGUUGUCAUUUUACUAUUAUAUUGUUACUAUUUUAUUGUUAUUAUUUGAUUAUUAUAUACCACUUGUUUUAUUAUUAAUUUUGCUACUACUUUAGUGGUAUUUGUUUGCUAAAUUGCACUAUCUUAAUCUUAUUUAAGUAUUAAGAUUGUUUUAAUGUAUUUUCAAUUUGUUGGGAAAUAUUUAUUUUAAUGUUUUGAGUGCAUUUGAUAUAUUAUAUUUUUAAAUUUUUUUAUAUAAAAAAAUUAAUAUGAGUUGGGUUGCGCUCAAGUUUAACAUUUUUUAUCUAAUUCAGAUUUGGACAAAAUUUUAAACCUAUUAUUCUAAUUGAAUCAAAACCUAAAAUUCUAUAUUGACCAAACUCGGCUGAUAAUCAAGUCUACUCCCAUUAAUCUUUGAAAAAUUUUAAUUAAAUCCUCAGUUUUUUAAAAUUUAAAACGUUGAUAUAUCUUCUUGAAUUCCAAUGUCGCAGAUGCUUGCUUGAUAGGUUGUAGCUUUUGUGGGGGCUGAUCUCCGUUCUGCACACUUGCAGGUUAUCAUUAAAUUGAAUAAAAUGAACAUUUACUGCAAAACCUUAGCUUACAAUUCACAUACAAAGUAUCACUUUGAUUACACAUAUGAUUAUUUUAAACUUUUUUAAUUUUUAAAUUUGCAGUAUGUCAAGUGAUCGUCUGUGCAUGUAAAUUGGAUUUGAUGAGAAAGGAUACCUUCGUAGUGAGUUUAAAAAAGGAGUUGAAUACGUAGAUUUUGAAUUUUAAAACGUUAAUGUGUUGGUCAAAAUAAGAUUUAAGCGUGAAUUUGAAGGGCAGUGCGAGAUGCAUUUAAUUUAUUUUUCAUCUUACGCUAUAAAAUCGUUAUAAUAUUUAAUUUCAUCAUUAUUAAUAUUUUUAUGCUAAUUGCAAGUAAAUUACCAUGAGGUGAAAAUUUAGCAAAUGUGAUAAUAGAAAGUUUAAACUCGAGAUGAUGUGAUUUAUCAAAAGGUUAUUGAUGUUACGUAUUUUGAAUUUAAUUAGAGUGCAGAACAGCCUUGUAAUGUUUCAAAGUUUUAGUUUUCAAUAUACCAUUGGAACGAGUUAGAUUCGGUUAAAAUUUUUAAAUAAAUUAUUUCAGGUAAUUUGGAACUCGUCUGAUAUUCGAGCCAAAGAGGAAUAGGUAAUUUUAAGUUUUGGAAAAUUUUCAAAUUUGUUUUCAUUAUUUUUGAGUUAUGGUUUAAUUGUUUUUAUUAAUGUAUAAUUAUUUUUGUUGAAUAUUGAUACACAAUCCGGUUAGUUAUGCAUUAAGUGUGUUAAGGACAGGUUAUCUCUGUAGACAAUUUUAGUAAUCAAAAAUUCUGAUAGUAGAACCUCCCUGUAGGAAAUACGAAAACAAGAGGAUGUUUCCUUUCCUUAGGAGAACCAAUACUUUUGCAAGCUUCAACUCCAACUAAUCUCAAGAGUCUAACCAAACCUCAAAUAGUAUUGUUAAUGAACAAGAACAUUAUGAAAAUAUUCCCCAAAAAUUUGAUAAUUGUACUCUUCAAAAGUUUCAACAAAUUAAAUUUAUAAGAAAAUAAUUUUUGAAACUUUAAAGGCAUUUUAUAGAUAUAUUAUAAAAACAAAAGAAAAAAAUUUACCUAUCGAAAAAGAACAUGAAACUAUCCAAUUAUUAGAUAGAUUCGUCAUUAAUAAGCAUCAUAUUGUCAAACAAUUUAUUUGGCUUCUUUAGGACAGUCUAGAACUAUAUAUGAAGGUUCUGUCGGGAACUAAUAAAGAAAAGGAAAAUAAUAAAUUUAAGCAAUAUUUAGUACUUAGAAGAAAAAUGAAGAAAUAAAAUUAACAGAAACAAUAGAUAUAGAGAAGGAUCUAGAAAACUUUAAGUCAGCUAGUCAUAAACAUUUUAGCGGGCAAAUUACAUAUAAAAUCCCAUUUUAAUAAAAAUUUAUCGAAAUGGGCCUAGUAAAUAAUUAUUUACCGAAAUGACCCUAUUUCCCCUAAAGUGCGUCCACGUCAGCAUGAUGUCAGGGGACGUAGCAGGAAAACGUGUCCCUGAGGAAGCGUUUUACCUACAUGGACAGAAAUCGCUCCCUCAAGGGUGCGCUUUAUGUCCAAGUAGGCAAAACACUUCCUCAAGGACGCGUUUUGCCCGUGUCUCCUGCGAUUAGGGUUUUGGGUUAUUGGUUUAAGGCUAGGGUUAGGGUUUUGGUGUUUUUAAGUUUAGGGUAUUAGAGAAAAUUUAAUAAAUAAGAGUUUAGAUUUUGUCAAUUAAAUUAAUUAUAAAUUUUUCAAAAUUGGAUUAGCUUUCGUGUUUAUUUUUUAAGAAAAAAUAAAUUAAAUUAGGGUUUAGGGUUACUUGAGUAAUUUAAUUAAAAAAAUUUUAAAAAUUAGAUUAGGGUUUAGAGUUAAGGGUUUUUAAGGAAAAUCAAAUAAAUUAGGGUUCAGCGUUACUUGAGUAAAUUAAUUAUAAUUUUUUAUAAAACUAGAUUAGGGUUUAGGGUUUAGGGUUUUUAAGUAAAAAUUCAAAUAAAUUUGGGUUUGGGGUUGAGGGUUACUUAAUUAAAUUAUUUGUUAAUUUAAAGAAGCUCCCACGUGGACGCACUUUUGCUACAGUAGCUCUUGAAAAAAUAAUUUCGAGUAGACGUUUUUGAGCAAAUAGUGUCAAAACGCUUUAAGCAGGAUGCUUUGUCAGCAGAAGUACUAAAAAAAGCUUCCACGUGGACAUGCUUUUGCUACUGUAGCUCCUAAAAAAUAAUUUUGAGUAGACGUUUCUAAGCAAAUAGAAUAAAAAACGCUUUAAGCAGGAUGUUUUGUCAGCAGAAGUACUGAAAGAAGCUCCCACGUAGACGCGUUUUUGCUACAGUAGCUCCUGAAAAAUAAUUUUGAGUAGACGUUUCUGAGCAAAUAGAAUCAAAAACGCUUUAAGCAGGAUGUUUUGUCAGCAGAAGUACUGAAAGAAGCUCCCACGUGGACGCGCUUUUGCUACAGUAGCUCCUGAAAAAAUAAUUUCGAUUAAAUGUUUCCGAGCAAAUAGUGUCAAAAACGCUUUAAGAAGGAUGCUUUGUCAGUAGAAGUUUUGAAAGAACCUCCCACGUGGACGCGCUUUUGCUACAGUAGCGCAUGUUUGGCCUGAGGCUAUAAAUGAUGCAAAUUUUUUUCUCAGAUUGCGUAAGUUACAACAAAAAAAUUGAGAGAGGCUAAGAAUGAUAGAAAUUGAAGAUGAGUAAACGUAUUAGUGCUGUUAUUUACUAUAAUGGUGAGGUUUGCCACACCGAGAAUGGUGUUAUUUUUUAUCAAAGAAUACAGUGCGACUGGUUUUUAACCAGAACAUAGAUUGGACAGAACUUCGUAAAAAAAUUAGGCGUAAAAUAUUUGGAACGACGCCAAUGAAAGUUCUGUCUAUUACGUAUCGAUUUUGUUCUUCUGUUGAUCCGGUGACAUAUGACUCGUUCGACAUAAAAAGUGCUUAUAGCUUGGAGGCAAUGGCUCGCUAGAGGAGCACCCUAUAUUGAAUUAUAUGUACAAUUUACAUCACCAAAUGAUGCACUUGCAACUAGUGUUCGAGAGGUAUACGCGACCCCUGCCCGACAAUCGGUUAGUGUGUUACAAAAUACGGAAUAACCCAUGUUUGGUAGCGGUGUGGAAUAUACAACCCCUGCACGACACUUUGUCACUGGAUGGGACAUGUACCUCGGUGGGUCGAUGUUUGAUGCUGGAAAUACGUACUGAGGAACGACAUCAACUUCUAGUGAUUGGCAAUCUACAUCCAAUUGGGGACGUUAUGAAAUGCCUAGAAAAAGGGAUGAUGUACUCCCUACGACGUUUACCGGGGAGGGGACCUCGUACGUUGUAGAUGAUGGUGGGUUAGAAGAUGACUUCGAUGUGGAUACACCUCGAGAGCCCGGGCUCGAUGGUGCAGAAGUUGCAUUAUUCUCUAAAUCGGAGCCUAUUCCAACCGAAUCUAAAAAUGUUGAAGGGGGUUCAGAUGAAGAAGAAGAUCUACGAUUCAGGGCAUACUCACCUCCAGCCCACAUGUAUAAUGUCGAUCUGUCUGCAGAUGAUGCGUUGGAGUUUCUAAAUCUACCACACCAGCUGCGUGAUCGUACAAGUUCGGUACAAGAUUUGGGUGAAUUUGAAAUUGGUAAUCAGUUUUCCAACAAGGAUAGUUUUAUUGGUACUUUGAAACAACAUAGCAUCAAUAACGGUGUUAACUACCACGUCGUUAAGUCCAAAGUUGAUAAGUUUAAGGCGAAGUGUGCAGUGCAAGACAGUACAUGUUCAUGGAAAAUCUACGCCUUGUUGAGGAAAAGGAUAGGGUUGUGGGAGAUUAAAAAGUACAAAGGUCCACAUACAUGUGUUGCAGGUAUAAUAUUUAGGGUCUCUGAAUAAUAUUGUUAUUAUGUAAUGUUGCAUUAUUUAAUGAACUCCGUUUAUAGGUAUUUCACAAGAUCCUCCCAAGAUGGAUUCAGCUAUGUUAGCUAGCUUGAUACUACCGACGGUGAAAGUAGAUCCUAAGACUUUAAUGCCGGUCUUAAUUACCAAUAUUCGUAGCCAAAUAAGGUACACGCCCUCUUACCGCAAGGCUUGGAUAGCUAAGCAGAAGGCGUUGGAGAAGAUGCAUAAUGGGUAGGACGCUUCAUAUAAUGACAUAUGGCAGUGGUGUUAAGUGCUAGAGAGAUACGUCCCAGGUUGCAUAAUAGACCUUCAAACGGAACAUGCGUACUACAACGAUCGAUUGCUGCAUGGAUGCCAAGUGUUCAAACACCUGUUUUGGACAUUUAAGCAAUUCCAAGACGCAUUUCCAUACUGCAAGCCAUUGGUACAAAUUGACGGUACCUUUAUGUUUGGUAGAUAUACCCAUCGGCUAUUGGUAGCAGUGGCACAGGAUGACAGUGGGAGAAUUCUUCCACUUGCAUUUGCAAUAACACCGGGGGAGUCAGCUGAUGAUUGGGAUUUCUUUCUAUCUAAGUUAAGAAGGCAUGUGUGCCCCUAACCUGAUAUAUGUGUUAUUUCAGAUUGAGGCACCGACAUACUAGCUACAAUUCAUCGACAGGGAAGCUUAUGGCAGCGCACACGCCAUCAGUAUUGCCUAAGGCACGUUGCUUCCAAUUACUACAAGAAAUAUCCAUCUAAGAGUGAACGACGACAAGUGACCAACAUGGGUAUUUAGUCUCUAUUAAUAUAAUUUUGUUUGUCAUUUUAGAUUUAUUCUAAUUGAAAGAGUGGUAUGUAAUAUUGCCUAUGAACUUAUAUUGGCAGGGUAUAAAAUAAAUAAAGAUCGUUUUCAUGAGAUGUUGGCAGUUUUGCGUUCAAUUAACGGCGAAGGCGCGGACUACAUUUGUAACAUACCUUUCGAACAGUGGGCACAAGCAUACGACGGUAGCCUACGAUAUGGUCAUAUGACCUCAAACCUGGCUGAAUGCAUAAAUUCUAUUCUAAAAGGAACGUGCCAUCUACCAAUAACAUCGGUUGUGCGAGAGACAUAUUUUCGUUUGGCGGCGUUAUUUCCAAAGCGAGUAGCAAGUUAUGCAGGCCAGAUAAAGAGAGGCCAUGUAUGGUGCAAUAAGGUAGUGCAAGAAAUUAACAAGGCUAAGGCGCGACCGAACACCAUGCACACAGUGUCACGAUCGAGACAACUUAUGGUUUCGCGUGACAGAGUUUGACAGACCGCACCAAGGUGUUAUUGGCAGGCAAUAUCGUGUACACUUGCGAAAUAGGACUUGCGGUUGUAGGAUGUUUGACGCACUUCGAUAUCCAUGCGCUCAUGUAAUUGCAGCUUUUCAGAAUCUCCAUCUGGAUCCUAUGAAUUAUGUCGACGAAGUGUACAAAUAAGAAAAUAUGUACAACGUUUGGAGACACAUAUUUCCACCGGUCCUAGAUGAACAUAAGUGGCCAUUUGUAUCACUUGCUCCCUUUAAGCUGUUACCGGAUAGAGAAUUGCGUCGCAAACCAAAGGGACGACCUUACUCAACUAGAAUACGUAACAAUAUGGAUAUCCGAGAAACAACCAGUCAACAGAAGUUGUACGAAUGGUGUAGAAACCCAGGCCAUACAAGCCGAUCAUGCCCAAAUCGCAAUAGUUGAACGUUAUUGUAAAAAACUUUGUAUUAUUUAUAUUUUUUUAAAUCAAAAAUUGGUACAAAUAUUCAGAAUAUUUAAAAGAAAAUCUAUUUUAUUAAAAAUAUUAAAGUAAAUUACAAUUACUUUAUUCAAAAUAACGUUUUAUUUUAUUAAAUGAAAUAAUAUAGAAAUAUUCAACAUAUUGCCGUAUUUAAAAGAAUUUAUAUUAUAUUAAAAAUGUAUAAGUAAAUUUCUAUUUUAGUACAUGAAAUAAUAUAGAAGAAUUUCUAUUUUAUUACAUCAAAUAAUAUCAAAGUAAUCAAAAUGUUUGUACAAAUAAAAAUCAAUCUCCGUGCCCGCCAGAUUCAGUGCCACAUGGCGGUCAUCGACGAUUACGCGUUGGAUUCCUCCUUUGUCCAUCUUCAGGCGGGGGUUGUGGUUGCUCCAGUGGGGAUUCUAGUUCCUCCGAUAGGGGAUCUAGUUGUCGAUGUUGGGACGAUGAGCCACCUUGAUAGAAUAGUGACUAUGGAGGUGUUUGCAUCACCAAUGACGAAGCUGUUUGAAACCCAUACAAUGAUGGGGUUUGCUAAAAAGAAGAGCUUCCCGACGGCUCCCCUUGUGAUCCCUCGUACGAUGCUGGCCUAUACAUCGGUGGUCCACUCAGCGUAAUCAAAAAUAGAGAUGAACCGGGUCAUUGACUCCAACCUGUCAUAGGGCUAGAAAAAGGAAACAUAUAAGGGUUAGGAUACAUAAAAGGGCUAGGAUACGCACCUGGCAUCAUCUGAAAAGGUUGUGUCGUGGGUAUCGUCGGUUGAAUUGCUGGGUCUGGUGACUGUGUCGGUGUUGUUGCUGGGCCUGGUAAGUGUAUGGGCGAUGAUGAUAGGCAGGGUAAAUGUCUGGGCCACAUUGAUGGGCUUGCAUCGUCGUCCCUUCUUCUUAGAUUUAAAGGGCCAUGUCGUUCUCUUUGGACACGUAAUUGCCACUGCCUCUAAGUCUGGAACGAUGGCAUGUAUUCUGGCACACACGCUAACUCUAGAUCCUAAACCAUGGCAUGUAUUGUGGCACGCACGCUAACUCUGGAACGAUGAUCGGUUCCCGAGUUGGUAUAUAAUCAUACCAAUAUUUUCUCAUUUGGAUAUAGUAUGACCAGAAUCUCGACCAAUCCGUAUGCAGUUGCCGUAGGUCGAUUUUGUGAUGAUUAUCCAACACCUCAGGUGCCACGGGAAUCGGUUGUCGAAAUCUAAAUUGCCGUAAUACUCUGUCCGAAUGGUACAUCUCCACAGACGCAAAGUUAACCAAUGGGACUUUCACAUGCCAAGCAUUUGGAUUUUGGAAGUACUCAUCCGAAAUUACUGCCCGAAUUGCCGGAUCCUUGUAUGGUGCCCAUUGAAACUGUAUGACCAUGAUGGAAAUAUUAGUUAUAUACUAAAUACUAAAUACCAAUCGGCUAUCUCAUGAUGGAAAUAUCUAUUUUAUUUAAUACUUGUGCUUCCGACCGUUGGUCUAAUAGAAGCCGUAUAUCUUCAAAAGAGGUAGGUAAUAGAGCAUAACUUGCAAGAUGGUUCCACCUAAUUAAAUAAUUUUUUAGCAUUCGAUUAUAUUUUAAAUCUACUUAAUAAUUGUAAAAUCUAAUAUAAAAUUUACCUCGUUUUGAGUAGGAAUGUAUACGGGUGAUCCACUUGAGGACGUAAAAAUGGAAAGCAAAAUCGUGCCCAUGACUGCAGUAGUGACAGGCAACCUCCGAUUUUCUCUUUAUUCGGUUGCGUCGCCCUGCACAUCUCCCGGUACAAUGUUGCCAACACGGUAGACCCCCAACUAAUUCACCAGCUGCUCGAAAAUCAACGAGUUUUAGUAGCCAUCUUAGAUGUACGAGGUUCCGUGACAAGUCCGGCAUCAGAUAACCUCUAAUUAUCUAAAGAUUGUAUGCGCGAGCAUAUCGGAUUCUUUCUAGUUCGG
This 9322-nucleotide long non-coding RNA is filed under the name Gossypium raimondii (Peruvian cotton). Its description in RNAcentral is "long non-coding RNA (GRAI_LNC007549)". The stretch from base 3358 to 3444 matches the Rfam family "MIR7486 microRNA precursor family". The record is from RNAcentral. Lineage: Eukaryota; Viridiplantae; Streptophyta; Magnoliopsida; Malvales; Malvaceae.